Molecule: ribosomal RNA, 252 nt
Filed under: uncultured bacterium
Lineage: Bacteria
Description: partial 16S ribosomal RNA
Rfam family: Bacterial small subunit ribosomal RNA
Source: RNAcentral
UACGUAGGUCCCGAGCGUUGUCCGGAUUUAUUGGGCGUAAAGCGAGCGCAGGUGGUUUAUUAAGUCUGGUGUAAAAGGCAGUGGCUCAACCAUUGUAUGCAUUGGAAACUGGUAGACUUGAGUGCAGGAGAGGAGGGCAGAAUUCCAUGUGUAGCGGUGAAAUGCGUAGAUAUAUGGAGGAACACCGGUGGCGAAAGCGGCUCUCUGGCCUGUAACUGACACUGAGGCUCGAAAGCGUGGGGAGCAAACAGG